RNAcentral lists this transfer RNA (85 nucleotides) under [Torrubiella] hemipterigena. Its description in RNAcentral is "Torrubiella hemipterigena tRNA". It matches the Rfam family "tRNA". From Rfam's summary of the family: Transfer RNA (tRNA) molecules are approximately 80 nucleotides in length. Lineage: Eukaryota; Fungi; Ascomycota; Sordariomycetes; Hypocreales; Clavicipitaceae. The record is from Rfam by way of RNAcentral.
GCCCGGGUAACUCAACUGGUAGAGAUUGAGCACUUACCGUCCCUUCUUAGGCUCAUGGGUGCAGGUUCGAAUCCUGCGCUGGGCG